Molecule: ribosomal RNA, 726 nt
Filed under: Neocallimastigaceae sp.
Lineage: Eukaryota; Fungi; Neocallimastigomycota; Neocallimastigomycetes; Neocallimastigales; Neocallimastigaceae
Description: partial large subunit ribosomal RNA
Rfam family: Eukaryotic large subunit ribosomal RNA
Source: RNAcentral
CGGCGAGUGAAGCGGGAAGAGCUCAAAUUUGAAAUCUUAAAGGGUUUCCCUUUACGAAUUGUAGUUUAAAGAAGUGUUUUCUGUUGAGGUUUUGGUAAAAGUUCUUUGGAAUAGGACAUCAUAGAGGGUGAGAAUCCCGUAUUUGACCUUUACUUUCAACUUUGUGAUACACUUUCAAAGAGUCGGAUUGUUUGGGAAUGCAGUCCAAAAUGGGUGGUAAAUUUCAUCUAAAGCUAAAUAUUGGCGAGAGACCGAUAGCGAACAAGUACCGUGAGGGAAAGAUGAAAAGAACUUUGAAAAGAGAGUUAAACAGUACGUGAAAUUGUCAAAAGGGAAGCGUUUGACACCAGUGUUGUUUUUCUGAAAAUCAAUUAAAGAACUGUUUAUGCUAAGUUGUUUAGACUUUAUCAGCUAACUGUUUAGUUUUGAGCUUUUCUUUAAUGCACUUUUCAGUUAACAAGUCAACAUCAAUUUCUUUUGCUGUAAAAAAGCUUGAGGAAGGUGGCUUGAGAUUCGUCUUAAGUGUUUAUAGCCUCUUGCCUAUGCAGUCGGAGAGAUUGAGGUCUGCAGCGUAGAUCCUUCGGGGCUAAAUGCAUUUGUGCUAAGUUAUAGCAUUUUAUAGACAACUUGUUGACUAUGAUUUGUCUUGUAGCUUACUCGCUUAUGUUAUUUUACCUACGCUUAGGAUGUUGACAAAAUGGUUUUAAACGACCCGUCUCCGGGGGG